AACAGAGUAGGUGAUCUUGCGUUAAGUGUUUGAGAAUGGGACGUCGUCUCAAAACGAAGGGAUACCGCGGUAGAUCAUUCGCGUCCGCUAUU
Molecule: non-coding RNA, 92 nt
Organism: Clostridiales bacterium
Lineage: Bacteria; Bacillati; Bacillota; Clostridia; Eubacteriales
Source: Rfam